Molecule: transfer RNA, 87 nt
Filed under: Pseudomonadota bacterium
Lineage: Bacteria; Pseudomonadati; Pseudomonadota
Also listed under: 1 other name
Description: tRNA-Ser
Rfam family: tRNA
About the family: Transfer RNA (tRNA) molecules are approximately 80 nucleotides in length. Their secondary structure includes four short double-helical elements and three loops (D, anti-codon, and T loops).
Source: RNAcentral
GGAGGAGUGCCCGAGUGGUUUAAGGGAACAGUCUUGAAAACUGUCGUGCCUGAAAAGGUACCGUGAGUUCGAAUCUCACCUCCUCCG